AGUGAACGCUGGCGGUAGGCCUAACACAUGCAAGUCGAACGGCAGCACAGUAAGAGCUUGCUCUUACGGGUGGCGAGUGGCGGACGGGUGAGGAAUACAUCGGAAUCUACUUUUUCGUGGGGGAUAACGUAGGGAAACUUACGCUAAUACCGCAUACGACCUACGGGUGAAAGCAGGGGAUCUUCGGACCUUGCGCGAUUGAAUGAGCCGAUGUCGGAUUAGCUAGUUGGCGGGGUAAAGGCCCACCAAGGCGACGAUCCGUAGCCGGUCUGAGUGGAUGGUCAGCCACACUGGAACGGAGACACGGUCCAUACUCCUACGGGAGGCAGCAGUGGGGAAUAUUGGACAAUGGUCGCAAGCCUGAUCCAGCCAUACCGCGUGGGUGAAGGAGGCCUUCGGUUUGUAAAGCCCUUUUGUUGGGAAAGAACAGCAGCAGGUUAAUACCCCGCUGUUCUGACGGUACCCAAAGAAUAAGCACCGGCUAACUUCGUG
RNAcentral lists this ribosomal RNA (492 nucleotides) under uncultured bacterium. Its description in RNAcentral is "partial 16S ribosomal RNA". It matches the Rfam family "Bacterial small subunit ribosomal RNA", at positions 29 to 507 of the family's 1533-position model. The record is from RNAcentral.